Molecule: long non-coding RNA, 2354 nt
Filed under: Podarcis lilfordi (Lilford's wall lizard)
Lineage: Eukaryota; Metazoa; Chordata; Lepidosauria; Squamata; Lacertidae
Source: RNAcentral
CUCACUGGCCUUGCAGACAACUUCAUUGUCCAGAAAGUGGGAGAAGCAACAAGAGGAACAGCCAUUUUAGAUCUGGUCCUAACCAAUGUUGAUGACCUGGUUAGUGGGGUAGAAGUGGAAGGAUCAUUAGGCGCGAGUGAUCAUGCUCUUCUGAAGUUUACUAUACAGCGGAAAGGAGCAGCCAAGCAUACUAGGACUCAAUUUCUUGACUUUAAGAAAGCUGACUUCAUAAAACUUAGGGAAGUGCUGGGUGAGAUCCCAUGGACAGUAAUACUAAAAGGAAAGGGAGUUCAUGAUGGCUGGGAGUUUGUUAAGAGGGAGAUACUAAAAGCACAACGUCAGGCAAUACCAAUGAGACAGAAACAUGGAAGGUGCCUAAAGAAGCCAGGGUGGCUAUCUAAAGAACUUUUAACUGAGUUAAGAUUAAAAAGGAUGUGUACAAAAAUGGAAAAGGGGGAAACCACCAAAGAGGAAUUCAAACAAAUAGCCAGCACGUGUAGACACAAAGUCAGAAAAGCUAAAGCACAGAAUGAACUCAGGCUUGCUAGAGAGGUUAAAAGCAACAAAAAGGCUUUUAUGGGUAUGUCCGUAGCAAAAGGAAGAACAAAGAAACAGUGGGGUCACUCAGAGGAGAAGAUGGUGAAAUGCAAACAGGGGACACAGAAAGAGCUGAACUCCUCAAUGCCUUCUUUGCCUCAGUCUUCUCCGAUAAAGAAAAAAAUGCCCGACCUGAAGAAUUUGGAGCAAAUGAUUCAGCAAAGGAAACACAGCCCAGAAUAACUAAGGAGAUAGUACAAGAAUACUUGGCUAGUUUAGAUGUAUUCAAGUCUCCAGGGCCAGAUGAACUGCAUCCAAGAGUAUUAAAAGAACUGGCAGAUGUGAUCUCAGAACCACUGGCAGUCAUCUUUGAGAAUUCCUGGAGAACAGGUGAAGUCCCGGCAGACUGGAGGAGGGCAAAUGUUGUCCCUAUUUUCAAAAAGGGGAAAAGAGAGGACCCAAAUAAUUACCGCCCAGUCAGUCUGACAUCAAUACCAGGGAAGAUUCUGGAGCAGAUCAUUAAGCAAACAGUCUGUGAGCACCUAGAAAGGAAUGCUGUGAUCACCAAUAGUCAGCAUGGAUUUCUGAAAAAUAAGUCAUGUCAGACUAACCUGAUCUCAUUUUUUGACAGAAUUACAAGCCUGGUAGAUGAAGGGAAUGCAGUGGAUGUAGCCUACCUUGAUUUCAGCAAGGCAUUUGACAAGGUGCCUCAUGAUAUUCUUGUAAAGAAGCUGGUAAAAUGUGGUCUUGACUAUGCUACCACUCAGUGGAUUUGUAACUGGCUGACUGACCGAACCCAAAGGGUGCUCAUCAAUGGUUCCUCUUCAUCCUGGAGAAGAGUGACUAGUGGGGUGCCACAGGGUUCUGUCUUGGGCCCGGUCUUAUUCAACAUCUUUAUCAACGACUUGGAUGAUGGACUCAAGGGCAUCCUGAUCAAAUUUGCAGAUGACACCAAAUUGGGAGGGGUGGCUAACACCCCAGAGGACAGGAUCACACUUCAAAACGACCUUGACAGAUUAGAGAACUGGGCCAAAACAAACAAGAUGAAUUUUAACAGGGAGAAAUGUAAAGUAUUGCACUUGGGCAAAAAAAAUGAGAGGCACAAAUACAAGAUGGGGGACACCUGGCUUGAGAGCAGUACAUGUGAAAAGGAUCUAGGAGUCUUGGUUGACCACAAACUUGACAUGAGCCAACAGUGUGACGCAGCAGCUAAAAAGGCCAAUGCAAUUCUGGGCUGCAUCAAUAGGAGUAUAGCAUCUAGAUCAAGGGAAGUAAUAGUGCCACUGUAUUCUGCUCUGGUCAGACCUCACCUGGAGUACUGUGUCCAGUUCUGGGCACCACAGUUCAAGAAGGACAUUGACAAACUGGAGCGUGUCCAGAGGAGGGCAACCAAAAUGGUCAAAGGCCUGGAAACGAUGCCUUAUGAGGAACGGCUAAGAGAGCUGGGCAUGUUUAGCCUGGAGAAGAGGAGGUUGAGGGGUGAUAUGAUAGCCAUGUUCAAAUAUAUAAAAGGAUGUCACAUAGAGGAGGGAGAAAGGUUGUUUUCUGCUGCUCCAGAGAAGCGGACACGGAGCAAUGGAUCCAAACUACAAGAAAGAAGAUUCCACCUAAACAUUAGGAAGAACUUCCUGACAGUAAGAGCUGUUCGACAGUGGAAUUUGCUGCCAAGGAGUGUGGUGGAGUCUCCUUCUUUGGAGGUCUUUAAGCAGAGGCUUGACAACCAUAUGUCAGGAGUGCUCUGAUGGUGUUUCCUGCUUGGCAGGGGGUUGGACUCGAUGGCCCUUGUGGUCUCUUCCAACUCUAUGAUUCUAUGAUUC